AUGAUGAAGGAACUAGGUCUUCGGGAAGAGGACCUAGACAAUGUGGUUUUCAACGAAGACGAGGCCCCGAAGGAGGCGGCACGAUGGAUAGCGCUGGCCAGGGUUCACUCGCCAAAGACAUACAGCCAAUAUUGGUUUUUCAAAAACAUGAGAGCUGCGUGGGAUCUAACCCAGGAGGUGCAGUUCAAACCUCUGGAAGAUAAUCUAUACUUUGUGCAGUUUUCUUGCUUAGGUGAUUGGGAA
RNAcentral lists this ribosomal RNA (243 nucleotides) under Triticum aestivum (bread wheat). RNAcentral describes it as "partial small subunit ribosomal RNA". The record is from RNAcentral. Lineage: Eukaryota; Viridiplantae; Streptophyta; Magnoliopsida; Poales; Poaceae.